This 33-nucleotide small RNA is filed under the name Arabidopsis thaliana (thale cress). Its description in RNAcentral is "ATSL069560". Lineage: Eukaryota; Viridiplantae; Streptophyta; Magnoliopsida; Brassicales; Brassicaceae. The record is from RNAcentral.
UUUUUGAUAGAUACAAAAAAAAUGAAAAAAAAU